RNAcentral lists this ribosomal RNA (324 nucleotides) under uncultured eukaryote. Its description in RNAcentral is "partial 18S ribosomal RNA". It matches the Rfam family "Eukaryotic small subunit ribosomal RNA", at positions 1470 to 1796 of the family's 1831-position model. The record is from RNAcentral.
CCCUUAGAUGUUCGGGGCCGCACGCGCGCUACACUGAAUGAAUCAGCGAGUGUAUGUCCUAGGCCGAAAGGUCCGGGUAACCCGUUGAACCUCAUUCGUGAUUGGGAUAGGGACUUGCAAUUGUUUCCCUUGAACGAGGAAUUCCCAGUAAGCGCAAGUCAUCAGCUUGCGUUGAUUACGUCCCUGCCCUUUGUACACACCGCCCGUCGCUACUACCGAUUGAAUGUUCCGGUGAGCUCUUCGGACUGCGCGGUCUGCAGUUUCUGCGUUCCGUGCGGAAAGUUGCGCAAACCUUAACAUUUAGAGGAAGGAGAAGUCGUAACA